GACGAACGCUGGCGGCGUGCUUAACACAUGCCAGUCGAACGGAAAGGCCCUGCUUGCAGGGUACUCGAGUGGCGAACGGGUGAGUAACACGUGGGUGAUCUGCCCUGCACUUCGGGAUAAGCCUGGGAAACUGGGUCUAAUACCGGAUAGGAGCCAUUUUUAGUGUGAUGGUUGGAAAGUUUUUUCGGUGUAGGAUGAGCUCGCGGCCUAUCAGCUUGUUGGUGGGGUAAUGGCCUACCAAGGCGGCGACGGGUAGCCGGCCUGAGAGGGUGGACGGCCACAUUGGGACUGAGAUACGGCCCAGACUCCUACGGGAGGCAGCAGUGGGGAAUAUUGCACAAUGGGCGCAAGCCUGAUGCAGCGAAGCCGCGUGGGGGAUGACGGCCUUCGGGUUGUAAACUCCUUUCGCUAGGGACGAAGCUUUUUGUGACGGUACCUAGAUAAGAAGCACCGGCUAACUACGUG
This 465-nucleotide ribosomal RNA is filed under the name uncultured bacterium. Its description in RNAcentral is "partial 16S ribosomal RNA". It matches the Rfam family "Bacterial small subunit ribosomal RNA", at positions 28 to 507 of the family's 1533-position model. The record is from RNAcentral.